Molecule: ribosomal RNA, 481 nt
Filed under: uncultured bacterium
Lineage: Bacteria
Description: partial 16S ribosomal RNA
Rfam family: Bacterial small subunit ribosomal RNA
Source: RNAcentral
GACGAACGCUGGCGGCGUGCUUAACACAUGCAAGUCGAACGGUGAAGGGGAGCUUGCUCCCCGGAUCAGUGGCGAACGGGUGAGUAACACGUGGGCAACCUGCCCCAGACUUCGGGAUAACGCUUCGAAAGAGGUGCUAAUACCGGAUACGAACUCCUUGGGCAUCCUGGGAGUUGGAAAGUUUUUCGGUCUGGGAUGGGCCCGCGGCCUAUCAGCUUGUUGGUGAGGUAACGGCUCACCAAGGCGACGACGGGUAGCCGGCCUGAGAGGGCGACCGGCCACACUGGGACUGAGACACGGCCCAGACUCCUACGGGAGGCAGCAGUGGGGAAUAUUGCGCAAUGGGCGGAAGCCUGACGCAGCAACGCCGCGUGAGGGAUGACGGCCUUCGGGUUGUAAACCUCUUUCAGCAGGGAAGAAGCGAAAGUGACGGUACCUGCAGAAGAAGCACCGGCUAACUACGUGCCAGCCGCCGCGGUAA